GAUGAACGCUGGCGGCGUGCCUAAUACAUGCAAGUCGAGCGAACAGACGAGGAGCUUACUCCUCUGACGUUAGCGGCGGACGGGUGAGUAACACGUGGAUAACCUACCUAUAAGACUGGGAUAACUUCGGGAAACCGGAGCUAAUACCGGAUAACAUGUUGAACCGCAUGGUUCAACAGUGAAAGACGGUCUUGCUGUCACUUCUAGAUGGAUCCGCGUCGCAUUAGCUAGUUGGUAAGGUAACGGCUUACCAAGGCAACGAUGCGUAGCCGACCUGAGAGGGUGAUCGGCCACACUGGAACUGAGACACGGUCCAGACUCCUACGGGAGGCAGCAGUAGGGAAUCUGCCGCAAUGGGCGAAAGCCUGACGGAGCAACGCCGCGUGAGUGAAGAAGGUCUUCGGAUCGUAAAACUCUGUUAUUAGGGAAGAACAAAUGUGUAAGUAACUAUGCACGUCUUGACGGUACCUAAUCAGAAAGCCACGGCUAACUACGUG
Molecule: ribosomal RNA, 497 nt
Filed under: uncultured bacterium
Lineage: Bacteria
Description: partial 16S ribosomal RNA
Rfam family: Bacterial small subunit ribosomal RNA
Source: RNAcentral